UACGUAGGGGGCUAGCGUUGUCCGGAGUCAUUGGGCGUAAAGCGCGUGUAGGCGGUCCGGUAAGUCCGCUGUGAAAGUCGGGGGCUCAACCCUCGGAUGCCGGUGGAUACUGUCGGGCUUGAGUACGGAAGAGGCGAGUGGAAUUCCUGGUGUAGCGGUGAAAUGCGCAGAUAUCAGGAGGAACACCAAUUGCGAAGGCAGCUCGCUGGGAAGUUACUGACGCUGAGGUGCGAAAGCGUGGGGAGCAAACAGG
RNAcentral lists this ribosomal RNA (253 nucleotides) under uncultured bacterium. RNAcentral's name for it is "partial 16S ribosomal RNA". It matches the Rfam family "Bacterial small subunit ribosomal RNA", at positions 524 to 776 of the family's 1533-position model. The record is from RNAcentral.